UGGGGAAUUUUGGACAAUGGGGGCAACCCUGAUCCAGCAAUGCCGCGUGUGUGAAGAAGGCCUUCGGGUUGUAAAGCACUUUUGUCCGGAAAGAAAACGUCGUGGUUAAUACCCGUGGCGGCUGACGGUACCGGAAGAAUAAGCACCGGCUAACUACGUGCCAGCAGCCGCGGUAAUACGUAGGGUGCAAGCGUUAAUCGGAAUUACUGGGCGUAAAGCGUGCGCAGGCGGUCCGCUAAGACAGAUGUGAAAUCCCCGGGCUUAACCUGGGAACUGCAUUUGUGACUGGCGGGCUAGAGUAUGGCAGAGGGGGGUAGAAUUCCACGUGUAGCAGUGAAAUGCGUAGAGAUGUGGAGGAAUACCGAUGGCGAAGGCAGCCCCCUGGGCCAAUACUGACGCUCAUGCACGAAAGCGUGGGGAGCAAACAGGAUUAGAUACCCUGGUAGUCCACGCCCUAAACGAUGUCAACUAGUUGUCGGGUCUUCAUUUCCUUAGUAACGUAGCUAACCGCGUGAAGUUGACCGCCUGGGGAGUACGGUCGCAAGAUUAAAACUCAAAUGAAUUGAC
This 567-nucleotide ribosomal RNA is filed under the name uncultured bacterium. RNAcentral describes it as "partial 16S ribosomal RNA". It matches the Rfam family "Bacterial small subunit ribosomal RNA", at positions 355 to 914 of the family's 1533-position model. The record is from RNAcentral.